Molecule: ribosomal RNA, 413 nt
Filed under: uncultured bacterium
Lineage: Bacteria
Description: bacterial SSU rRNA
Rfam family: Bacterial small subunit ribosomal RNA
Source: RNAcentral
GUGUCAGCAGCCGCGGUAAGACGAAGGGGGCUAGCGUUGUUCGGAAUUACUGGGCGUAAAGCGCGUGUAGGCGGUUAUCCAAGUCAGGUGUGAAAGCCUUGAGCUCAACUCAAGAAAUGCACUUGGUACUGGGUGACUAGAGGACCGGAGAGGAUAGUGGAAUUCCCGGUGUAGUGGUGAAAUGCGUAGAUAUCGGGAGGAACACCAGUGGCGAAGGCGACUUCCUGGCCUGUUCUUGACGCUGAGGCGCGAAAGCUAGGGGAGCAAACGGGAUUAGAUACCCCGGUAGUCCUAGCCGUAAACGAUGGACACUAGGUGUUGGUGGUAUCAACCCCGCCAGUGCCGAAGCUAACGCAUUAAGCGUCCCGCCUGGGGAGUACGGCCGCAAGGCUAAAACUCAAAUGAAUUGACGG